Molecule: non-coding RNA, 579 nt
Organism: Gasterosteus aculeatus aculeatus (three-spined stickleback)
Lineage: Eukaryota; Metazoa; Chordata; Actinopteri; Perciformes; Gasterosteidae
Source: RefSeq, a predicted model, not a curated record
UGCAUAACUGGAUGGACGCAUUGUGUUAGUGCGUGGAUUAUUGUGACGCAACAGUAAGUGUUCCAACAGCGCGCUGUAAAUGACACUGAGAGCACUGCGUCUGAGGACACUCCCCGAGGCGCGCCUUUCCUGACAAACAAAAGAAACUGGAAAAAAAGAAGAAAAAUCAAUUCCUUUCAAAAGCUUCUGGGACAUUAUCAUUAUUUGGAAGGAUAGGACGGCACAGAGGGCCCUUCUUCGUCGGGUCUAAAGCCAAUUAAUUCUCUGUUCCAGAGGUGGACAAUCGUUGCCGGGCCGAGUAUUUGGCCACGGAAAGCUAUGUUUCGAAAAAAUGAAGACGCAAGGAUGAAAGCUUGGGGGGUUCAAUCGGAUGGAUCUUCAAGUCGGCACGUGUCCGCGUCCUCUGUCAGAGCGAUGAAGCCAGGCGUCAAACAUCUACGCUGGUUGCACAUACUUCCUCUGGUGGUCCUUGUGGCAGCACAGGCUUCCUGUAAUGAGACCUCUGCUGCUCCUUCCCCUCCAUUCAUUACUACUGAAAAUGUCUCGACAUCCGGUAAAAGCUGACAGAAUCAUCUCACA